UAAUUGAAUGUGCUGCCAACCUUGCUUGUGAACACAGGCUGUCUUCUGGACUUUCUUCACAUAGAAAGAUACUAUAACCUUAAAUGAAGAGAGAUGUAGAUGGUUAUAAGAUUAUAAGUGUAUUGUGUCCAGUAGACGUGGAAAUUAUUUGCCAAUGGGAUUUUAAAUCGACCUCAACUGUUACGCCUCAUACUCAUUUUGGGACCAAAGUGAGAAGCGGUGCCACUUCAAGGGGUCCCUCUAAGAGGCUGUACUGAGUUGGUCUACACUGUGGUUGAUGGUUCCAUAUCUACUCUGUAGUCCUCCCACCUUCCACCCUUCACAUCUGGAGUUCAUUUCCAGCAUUCUCGGCACCUGCCAGUUGGAGGAAGGAAUCCCCUAUCUCUGGGUGAAGGAAUGGCCUGUGGGCUUGCCCCCGAGUACGCAUGAAUGUUCUCAUGAUACUUGAAUAAUGCUCUCAGAAGAACAAUUGCUUUGGAGGCCGAGUGAGGGUCUGUGGGGCUCUUCAUAAGAACAAUUUCCAGGGUACUCGCUUACUUUCUGGAGUUUUCUCUAUGUUCACUGAGGUUUUUGGUUAUUGGUUGCUUUUCAAUUGGAACCACAGAAUUUAUUGAGCAACAUUGUGUCUUGUGUUGGUUGUGGACCUUCGACCAUCCAUUUCAAAGCAGUGACUAGGCAGGGGCUAGUUUGCACUCCAAUCAAGCAUCCCACCACUGGGUGUGCUCCUGAGCACUUUCCUAGGCAGACUUUGCUCAGGUUUCGAGGACAAGGGGAAACCUUGGCACACCUAAGACGGACCAUUCUCCAGUUAGUGCACUCUACUUGUAGGGUGAGAUGUGUUGAGGUUUCUCUAGGUGGACUCACAGCUCUGAGAUCUGAGUAUUAAC
Molecule: long non-coding RNA, 887 nt
Filed under: Marmota monax (woodchuck)
Lineage: Eukaryota; Metazoa; Chordata; Mammalia; Rodentia; Sciuridae
Source: RNAcentral